Molecule: non-coding RNA, 2279 nt
Organism: Ictidomys tridecemlineatus (thirteen-lined ground squirrel)
Lineage: Eukaryota; Metazoa; Chordata; Mammalia; Rodentia; Sciuridae
Source: RefSeq, a predicted model, not a curated record
GAGAACUACAAGCAAUAAGUAGGGGAGGAGCUGGAUCACCAAUGCUAUCUGAAGACUUGCCCUGCAACAUACAGGGAAGUAUUUGAUAUAUGUGAAGAAAGAAUCUUUGGGCAUCACUAGAACCAUGUCCACUGGAGACCCCCCUGUUCAAUCUCCUUCUAUCUCCUCCAGCCUCCUACUGGUAGCAGCAUCUAGGGUGACACACUAUGCUCUUUGGGCACCUGAGAUAUGAACUACAUUCACAACAGCUUUUUGGCCUCACUUUCAGAAUGGGCAGCAAUGUGCUUUGAUGCUGGUUUUCAAGAUAGAUGUCUUAGGUGGUAGAGCAUCUUCCUACCUAUGGUCCGUAUGUCUAGGCUGAACAAGUGCUUUCCCACUGUGGGCCAUGAAGGCCAUCCUCAGACACCACUGUGCUUGAACAGUGCUUCUCAGAGCCUGUACUAGUGCUGCCUGGGCCAGAGCUGGUGGGUGGGCAUGAGUCUGGCUGUCCUAUAUCCUGCUCAGGGCUGAGUGAUCUAUCAGCUCCAGGAAUAUCCCCUUCUGCAUCCUACCUGUCAAGAGAUAACCAUUCUCCUGAUUUCUAAUGUAUAGAUUAGUUUUGCUUGUUUUGAUUUUGUACAUGAAAUCAUACAGAAUGUAUUUUUUUGCAUAUGUAGAUUCUUUUGCUUAUCUGGAUUAUUGAGUGUCGCCAUAGAUAUUUUUCAUUACUCUGUAAUAUUUCAUUGUAUGAAUGUAUUACAUUUCAUUUAUCAUUCUGUUGCAACAUGGAUAUUUGGGUUGUUUCCAGUGUUUGGCAAAGAAAAGCCACAUACAUGUCAGUAUCUAUGUUUAUCAUUUCAAGGAAUUGGUCUGUUUUUCUCUCAUUUGGAACUUUCUACCUGUCUUUCUCACUAUCUCCUUCUCUCAAUCUUUUUUUUUUCUUUUUUGGUACUGGGAAGUGAAUCCAGGGUGCUAACCACUGACCACAUCCUCAGCCCUUUUUUUUAUUUUAUUUAGAGACAGUUCUCACUGAGUUACUUAGGGCCUCGUUAAGUUGCUGAGGCUGUCUUUGAACUUGCAAUCCUCCUUCCUCAGCCUCUGGAGCCGCUGAAUUACAGGAAUGCGCCAUCAUGCCCAACUCUUUUCUAUAUAUUUUUAAUUCAAGGGUAUAACAAUUUCACAUAUUCAUACUAAAAUUGUCCUUUGUGAAAUAAUAUCUUUAUAUUCCUAUUUUCAAAAGGGAUUUCUGAUAUCAAACAUGAAGUUCAUAUCUACUAAAUAGAAGCAAACAAAAGAUUCAAAGCUGGUUCUGCAUUGUGAGGUAGUUCUCAAGGGAUAGCCCAGGGGUUUCUAUGAUAUAAGGUUGGAUUUAGUUGGUGACACCUGAGGUGCCUUCCUAGACUGAGACGGGUAAUAGAAUGAGUAAGAACUGGAGAAACAUUCUCAUUUCUAGAUUUCUGUCUCCAGCAAAAUUCAAUCACAACCCUUUUGCAUUCUGUAUCAUAUUAUGUCUGCUACAUUUUUGUUUAUGCUUAUUUCUGCCUGAAUGGGGUUUCUUCGAGAUCUAGAUAAAAUAUUCCUCUUUUUAAGUUUCUAGUACAAAGUUUUGCAUGCGGUAGAUUCUCUGCUUCAUUUCUUUCCUCAGGAUUACCAGGGGACAGCUGCGGAGGUGAGGCUGGAGGCCAGCUCUGAGAAUGCAUCAGAACGCUUCAAGCAUUUCCAGAUUUUCCAAGUUUGUUCUUCAAUGUUGAUGGAUUGGUUCAAGGCACCCAGAGGCUCAAGGAUGCAGCGGAGGGUUCCACUCCCCUGAGAACAUCAUGAGGCACUUGGCUGCUUGUCUGAAGGGCUGUGUUCAUGACCCUCUGCAGGAUCCCUCCUUGGUCAGGAUGCAGCUCCAACAGGAGCCGUCUACACCUAGUUCUCUUCAGGAGCAAUAAGAACUUGCAAAAGUGAAUGGCACCCUUGGGCCUGACCAGUUCCUCGUUUGCUUUGGGUCUGUGAGCUCCUGGGACUUCCUCCCAGCUGUGAAGGGGCUUGUUAUCCUGGAAAAAGGACACUGUAGAUCUAGGGAAGCUUUUGCUAGCAAGAUGGCUCUCCCAGAAACACAAGUCUCUCAUUUCCUUGGGCUUUUCUUCUCUCCUCUUUCACAACUUCCCCUGCUGCCCUGCCCAGCUUCCAGAAAAACAAAGCUUGCCAUCAUAUUGCAGAAGAACUUCAUCACUUAUCUUUGUACUUCAGUGCCCAGUGCUCAAUGAAUAUACAGUAGAUGUUUGUUGAAUGAAUAAAUGACAAUUUAUUGA